UUGUAUUUUAUUUUCGAGUCUUUCACCUAUCCUCAUAUUUCCCACCCAGUUUUAUAAUCAUGCUUGGUCAUCCCCAAACUGAAUUUUUGGGGAAGUGUGUGACUUGCCACCUUGAACAGAAAAUCCAUCCAGUUGUGUAAACAGCACCUCAUAAGGAAUUUGGGGCAGCUUCUGAAAUAUUCCUAUGUUAAUGACAGGACUUCUGGUUUUGAACUUUUAUAUGUAAUUCUGCUUUGUUUGGUAAUACUUAAGUAGGGAUGAUUCCUGAUAAAAACAUUGAUUUAGCUUUACAGCAAGCUUUUCAAGAUUUCUUUUAGAAUCUCUUUCUGUUGCCGUUCAAUGAAUAGUUCAAGUCUCUUUUACAGACUUUUGUCUUAAUAUUCUAGUUAAUUCAUUUAAAACUCAUCUUUAAUGAGUUUUAAAGUAUUAAAUAUUGGAUGUAAGUUGCUUAUGAAAUCAAGUAGGUUUUGUUAAUGUGAAUUAUUUCAACGUGUUUUGUAUAAACAGCAAGUUUCAUUAAAUAAUUAUGAAUGCAUCACAGAGGAGUAAUGCACUUUAUACUUUUUUCUAUAAGACCUAACAUGCUGCCCCAAUGCAUGUAGAUUCCUGGCAUCAGAAUGUGAUGUACAUCUCAGGGGUAGGGACUGGCAUGUGCCACAUGUCAGACGUGGUGGGUCAUGGCUCUGGUGUGGCGUGCCCACCUCUGAUUGAGCAUUGCUGAGCCCCUUCUUCUCCAACAGCACAGCCUCAAGUGGGAGGACGGCAGCCUCAGCUUUCCAGGGGAGCAUCCUUCUGCCUGGCCUCUGUGGGGACGCUUGUCCCUGUUCAGGACUCCCCAUGAGGCUGUCACCUCCUGUGUCACUGCUGUGCACUGCCUGUGUCUGUCAGGCUGAGAUCCCAAUGUCAGGGUGAGGAGGCAAUGCUGCCAGGGAGACGUGUGUGGGCAGCAUCACUUGGAGCAAAUCAUGGCAAGAACUGAUGAGAAUUGUAAGUCUUCUCUCUGUUACACCAGGUAGGUUUUAUAAAGUUUGUGGAGUUCUGCUUUUGUUUUUUUUUUUUCCGUUCUAGGCCCUACAGUGACCUUACUGUUGGCUGAUUCCAGAGAGCCAUCUCAUUAUUCUGAGUUGAAAUUUCUCCAUCUCCAAAAUCAGAGUUACUCCUGUGUGUCUUCAUGGGAAGAAUACACAUCACAGUCCUGCUCUGACAACAUAGGCCCAGGAAAAUGAAGAAGAGCAAGUUUUCCAUUAUUGUAAACUGCAAAAAGAGCAAAGAAAUGCAAACAUCCUUACCAUCAAGACUAGGUGGGGUAGCGCUGAAGGAAUUAUUUCAUCAACUCCUGAAAUGCAAAACCUACGGCAAAGAGAAAAGUCAUUCUUGUGAUUGCAUGUCUGACCUAAAGGACAAGUUUUCUCCAAGUAUGAUUUCAUUCAGGUGUCUGUAUUUCUGAUGACCCAGCUUUUUGGUAAGAGGGAAACUGCUUUCAGAGAGGAACACUGUGAUUCAGAAAGCAAUGAAGGGGCACAGGAAGUGAACUUCAACAUGUCAUGAAGAGACCAGCCAUUCAUAAACAAAGGAAAACUGUCUUCCCUGUUGAUCCCUUUCAUCAGCUUAACACCUAGGCUGAUGGUGCUAGUUCCUGUCCAAACUGAGAAAAAAGGUAAAAGCAGUGUCUGUGCUAAAGACCUCACAGUCUGAACAUGCAAAAGGAGCCAGGAGAUGAACACAGACAAGAGGCAGGACUAUCAACAGAGCACUAUGGAUCAGCACAGCCAGCAGUUAAGAUUUCAGUAAAAAAACUGAUUUGGAAAGUUAUUGUCUGGAAGCUGUAUUUGCAUAAAGCAAGUAGCAUCAACCUGCAUUUGUCCAGUGCUGACGAAAAAAACCUUCACAGAAAAGGAAGGUAGUUUGCUCUAGUGAAGGAAGAGCUGAAGGAGCUGAAGGAAGGAGACAUGCUUGAGAAAAAAGUUUCCAGCGUGGGUCUGCUGCAGAGGAGAAGAAGUACUGUACUGUGGGUAUGGUUCCACUAGGAAAUUGGCCAAGGAAUUGUCACCUAUGCCACACAUGCCUUCUUCAUGUAGAGAAGCUUUUCUACAUGUCAGAUGAUCCUUGUUGCACCCUGCUUUAGCUCUCCUCCUUCUGCUGUGCCCUUUGGAGAGAGCUGCAUGGUCAACUCAUGUCACUGCUGUCACCCUGCUGAAUGCCAUGUCACACUGCCAAUGCUUGGAAGCACUGACUGCUGGCUUCUGCAAGACUGGAAGGAAAGGAAGACCUGGACACACUGACUGCAUCUAAACUAUUAAACAAAAUUAGUCAGAGGAUUUUCCUGGAGGCCAACUGGCAUGAAAGAGCUUGAAUCCACACAGCUAAACUCUCUUGCCCUCCAAAUCACGGUGGCCACAUCCAAAACAUCUAUUGGAGAUGGUGUCUGACCUGGGUCAAUACCCAAGCUGUACUUAGCAUUGUCUGGAAGAGCAAUAACAGGCUCACACCAAAACCAUGCCAGGGACCAGUUUAGUAGUAUGGAUGGUUUCAGGCCCAUGCCUUGCUGGUCUUGUUCAGUUUAUUUAGUGUCAGAGGGAAACCUCAGAAAUUCUGCCAGGAGUCAACAGGAAACGCCUCAGUGACCAGAAGCUGCUGAGAAGUAUAAUCAUUAGGUUGUUCACCUUCUUCACAUUUGGAUUCUUUUUCUCGUUUUAUUUUUUUUACCAAAUAAGCACUGCAAAUUUUUGAAAUCUCACAGAGUAAUAAAAUUGGGUUGUUGCCUGCACAAAACUUGUUCGUUUUGAACUACCAAAAUAUUUUUCACACAAGCUGAGCCUCUGGAAAAGCUCUCCCCUGCUGAAGGAUCUCCUACGGCUUUGAGGAAGUUGCUAAGAGCUUGUGUGACCAGCACCCUGUUUGGAUGUAGGGGUAAAAAGCAAUGAGGUGUUGAGACACAAACACACCAGGUGCUUGAGGUCACAGAAGCAUGCUGAACUGAUGUGAACAUAAAACUCCCCUUGAUUUCUGUGGUAACUUAUUUCACAUGUCUGGGAAGGCAAUUUAUUUUAAACCUUGCAAAAAGGACAUGAGCACUUUGUUAUAUCAGAAUCUUUUCAAAGUCAGCUCUGGUGCUGGGUUUGGGUAAGCCCCAUAUGUUCUUCCUACAGUGUGAGGUAGUUUGAAGAGCUUGGGCUCUGUGUUUCUAGAGCUAACUCUGUGCAAUGGUACCCCAGUUAUCCCAUGGAACACUGUACUUCACAGUACUGUGUAAUACUUCUCCCUGCAGCAAUAUAAAUCAGAAUCAGACAAUCCAUGCCUGAAUCCUUUUCUCUAUUCUGAAGAUAAAUGGCAGUGAAGGCUGAGUAGUUUUAAAAAGCUCAUAGUACAAAAUUAUUGUAUUAGGCCAUGCUGUAUUACUGAGAUUACAGAAAAUUACCUACGUGUAUUGAAUUAAACCAUGAUUUUCCAAUGAUCUCAGCAGCAGUAGCAGAACUGGGACAAUUUAAUCAUUGUGCUAUCGGUUUGGUAGGUAACUACUAUCCUGAAUUGCUGUUCAGAAUGAAAAAAAUGGUAUUGUUUUAUCCAGAAACUAACCCUUAUUUAACUUCCAGCACCAGCCCUUACUUUUCUUAGACUUCAGGCCUAUGUUUGAAUUUCUGAAGCUGUCAGGUACUGAUUUCAGCAACAUUUAAAGCAAUGCAUAUUUCGCCUCAGGUUUGCUACAGGAUGAGUGUGUUCUUAAUUAAUGUAGUCAUUUGAUGUACAGCACCUCGCUGAACUAUUAGAACCUGAUUGUGUGCUUUUACCCAGUGUUCCUUUUUGGGUAAAAAGUCUGUUUCAUAACUGACCUAUUCAUGGAUCAGUCUCAUAAAGGAGGUUGUAGAGCCCUACACAUGCUAGUCAUACCUGGCCCAGGCUGUGCAAAUCUUAUUUAAUGGAAAUGUUAUGAAGCAAAGAGUAAAGUUGUUGCCCAGAAUUAUAUACUCAGAAAUUGGUAUUUUUUUCCCUGAGCUGGAUUUUGAAAAGCAGGAGGUAUGGUAAAGCAGAGGAGGAACAUUUAUACCUUAUCUAAUUUUGCCUCCCUUUUCCUUCCCUUUUCUGUCUUGCCCCUCAGUUUUCAAGCACUCGCCCAUGGGUGCUUGCAUAUGGCAGUGGCUGUGCUCAGACCUACUGAGAUCAGUGCAUCAGUUAAGGUUUGUAAGGCCAUAAUGUGUUUAUUUUUGCAGUCUGAUCUUGUGAGAAACUGAGGAGGUCUUGCAUCUCCCUCCUACUGAUAACGGUGCUGUUGAAAGAGCUCAGUGGAUUCCAGGGCAAAGCCUUGGAGGCUGUGGGUUAGAGAGCUGCUAACUCUCUUUUGGAAGUACAUGUAGAUUCCUUUGGCCUUCAUGAGGGAAAUCCUGGCUCCCCACUAAAGAACAAGAAAAUAAAACAACAAAAACUUAAGAUACAAACCCCCAACACAAUAGUUAUAGUGGUCCAAAUAAAACAUAAAAACCCUAGUCUCAGCCCAAGCACUCAGUCUGGGGAGGCUUUGGAAUUAGGGGCUUGAAGCUCGACCCAGGGAUGAGUCCAUGUUCUCUUUGGGGACGAAGGAUGCAGGCUCUGGCCAUGCUGAAGUGGGCUUUGGUGUGCUAGGACGUAGCCCAGUGGCCUGUGCUGGUAGUCCCUGCCUGCUGGCUCAAUGCCCAUUCACCAUGCACAGGCUGUGAGCUGUUCUCUGCAGCCAUCACCCCAGCCUUCAUCUCAGGCUCUUUUUGACCCUCUUUGGCUGUUUUAAAGCUGGAUCCUUUCAGCUUAUAUUCUCUGUCAAAUAAUUUGCUCUCCCCCUCGCCCUGCCCCCCCCCAGCCCCUCCUCUACUUCCACAACUGAACUCACUUUUCCAAACUCCCCACUCCACCAUCUAUCCACUCCAUAUGUUUAUAUUUUCCUACUGCUGAGGCACAGCAUGCUGACCUGCCUGGACAGAGCUCCUUUAUCACAGAGAUAAACAUGAUGUCCCCCUCACAUAGAGUUUCUAUCAUGUGUGACCUUUCAUCUUGAACUGCCGUGACCUUUUUUUUAUUAAUGCUGUACUGUGCUGCUUGCAGAAGCCAGGAAAGAAAAUCUUUUGUUUCUAGAUAGAAUACUGCUAAAGGACAUGAUACGGUCUUGUUUUUAAUCCAGCUAAUUAAAAUCUGCAUGUGCAGUGUAACUGAGAAUGCAGCCUUCGCCCACCACUUUCCCACAGGCAGGGAAUAAAGGCCUUUAGUGCAGCAGCAGCUAGCCACCCUUGGAUAACAGAGAACAGAGACCACAAUUCAUCCCAGCUUUCCUUAUCAUAUUCGCAGAGGGCUUUCC
Molecule: long non-coding RNA, 5320 nt
Organism: Prinia subflava (tawny-flanked prinia)
Lineage: Eukaryota; Metazoa; Chordata; Aves; Passeriformes; Cisticolidae
Exons: 9
Source: RefSeq, a predicted model, not a curated record